Molecule: ribosomal RNA, 532 nt
Filed under: Synalpheus aff. antillensis KMH-2014
Lineage: Eukaryota; Metazoa; Arthropoda; Malacostraca; Decapoda; Alpheidae
Description: partial 16S ribosomal RNA
Rfam family: Bacterial large subunit ribosomal RNA
Source: RNAcentral
AUCAAAAACAUGUCUGUAUGAAUAUUAUAUAUAGUCUGGUCUGCCCACUGAAAUAAUAAAGGGCUGCGGUAAUUUGACCGUGCAAAGGUAGCAUAAUCAAUAGUCUUUUAAUUGGAGGCUUGGAUGAAAGGUUUGACGGAUGGAGAACUGUCUUUAUGGUUUGUGUUGAACUUAACAUUUGUGUGAAAAGGCAUUAAUGAUUUAGAGGGACGAUAAGACCCUAUAAAACUUGACAUAUGUGUUGCUAGUUUUUGGAAUUGUUUUUUAAUUAUAAGGUGGUUGAGCGUGUUUUGCUGGGGCGGCAUGAAUAUAAUUGUAACUGUUUUAUAAAUGGAAUAUCGAUGGAUAGACUGUGGUCCUUUAUUAAGGAGGUAAGAGUAAGUUACUUUAGGGAUAACAGCGUAAUUUUUCUUGAGAGUUCUUAUCGAAGGAAGUAGUUGUGACCUCGAUGUUGAAUUAAAUUUUCCUUUUGUUGUAGGAGUUAUUAGGGAUGGCCUGUUCGGCCAAUAAAUAUUUACGUGAUCUGAGUUCA